UACGAAGGGGGCUAGCGUUGCUCGAAAUCACUGGGCGUAAAGGGUGCGUAGGCGGGUCUUUAAGUCAGGGGUGAAAUCCUGGAGCUCAACUCCAGAACUGCCUUUGAUACUGAGGAUCUUGAGUUCGGGAGAGGUGAGUGGAACUGCGAGUGUAGAGGUGAAAUUCGUAGAUAUUCGCAAGAACACCAGUGGCGAAGGCGGCUCACUGGCCCGAUACUGACGCUGAGGCACGAAAGCGUGGGGAGCAAACAGG
RNAcentral lists this ribosomal RNA (253 nucleotides) under uncultured bacterium. Its description in RNAcentral is "partial 16S ribosomal RNA". It matches the Rfam family "Bacterial small subunit ribosomal RNA", at positions 524 to 776 of the family's 1533-position model. The record is from RNAcentral.